RNAcentral lists this ribosomal RNA (465 nucleotides) under uncultured bacterium. RNAcentral's name for it is "partial 16S ribosomal RNA". It matches the Rfam family "Bacterial small subunit ribosomal RNA", at positions 28 to 507 of the family's 1533-position model. The record is from RNAcentral.
GACGAACGCUGGCGGCGUGCUUAACACAUGCAAGUCGAACGGAAAGGCCCUGCUUGCAGGGUACUCGAGUGGCGAACGGGUGAGUAACACGUGGGUGAUCUGCCCUGCACUUCGGGAUAAGCCUGGUAAACUGGGUCUAAUACCGGAUAGGAGCCAUUUUUAGUGUGAUGGUUGGAAAGUUUUUUCGGUGUAGGAUGAGCUCGCGGCCUAUCAGCUUGUUGGUGGGGUAAUGGCCUACCAAGGCGGCGACGGGUAGCCGGCCUGAGAGGGUGGACGGCCACAGUGGGACUGAGAGACGGCCCAGACUCCUACGGGAGGCAGCAGUGGGGAAUAUUGCACAAUGGGCGCAAGCCUGAUGCAGCGACGCCGCGUGGGGGAUGACGGCCUUCGGGUUGUAAACUCCUUUCGCUAGGGACGAAGCUUUUUGUGACGGUACCUAGAUAAGAAGCACCGGCUAACUACGUG